This 931-nucleotide long non-coding RNA is filed under the name Serinus canaria (Common canary). Its description in RNAcentral is "lncRNA (ENSSCAG00000014496.1)". Lineage: Eukaryota; Metazoa; Chordata; Aves; Passeriformes; Fringillidae. The record is from RNAcentral.
UGGAGCUGCUCGCCCAGGGGGACACGGUCUUUGACAUCCUGGAUGGGCGAGUGGGAGAGGAUGUGCACAAGAAGCUCCUCCUUGCCCAGGAAGAGCCUGGCAGGGAAGUCACUUUUGUCAGCGAGAUGCGCACGUCCAAGGCCUUCCGGCUGCAGCACGGGGGCAAUCGGGUGGUGGCAGUGUGCGGGCGCUUUGUGGCCUUGCACUGGCCACCCUCCCCCUCCACCACAGCCUUCCUGGCUCUCUGCACACCCCUUGUGCAGUCACCCACAGAUGGCGAAGCUGCUUCCCAGGAUGACAUAUUCCAGAGCAUGCAUCUCCUGGACAUGACGUUUAUUGAUGUCACGGAGAGUGUCACCUACCACCUAGGCUACCACCGGGAGGAGCUGGUCGGUCAGUCGUGGUACAGUCUCCUGCACCCUGAGGAUGCUGACCUGGCAGCUGCCCAGCACAGGGCCGUGGGUGAGUGUCACACCCAGGAACGUGCGUGCUGUCCCCUGGCUUCAUGGUCUGGUUAUGCCUGAAACGUGGCUAUCCAGGACAGCAGCGACAAAGUGAAUUCAGCCCUCCCUGUUCUGACUCCCAGGUCCAAAAAGGAUGAGGUGGGGAAGUGGUUACGUGUCCCAUACACUGUCCAUUAGUAGUUUCCAAGCUGGGGGUGGGCAGUCCUGCUUUGCCACGGUAUACAGAAGAGGGACACGCCCACUUGAGCCCCAUCUCUUUGGGAGCGCAGGACUGCUAUGGACCUGAUUCUGCUCUGUGUUGCUUUUGUCCCGCUGGGGCCAGACUGGUGACCGGCGGCAGAGCCCACCGGGGCAGCCUGCGGGGCUAUCCCGGCACCCUGGGGCCGUGCCCUGCUGCCGGCUCACGCAGUCCCUUCCCUUGCCCGCAGCGCUGGGGGCCGGGCCCGGGCCGGCAGCGGGGACCUCCG